AAGUCUUUACGGAGAAAGCUUUAUGCGCCGAAGGAUGAGCCUGCACUUGAUUAGUUAGUUGGUAGGGUAAUGGCCUAACAAGACAAUGAUCAAUAGCUGAUUUGAGAGGAUGAUCAGCCACAUUGGGACUGAGACA
This 136-nucleotide ribosomal RNA is filed under the name uncultured bacterium. RNAcentral's name for it is "partial 16S ribosomal RNA". It matches the Rfam family "Bacterial small subunit ribosomal RNA", at positions 189 to 326 of the family's 1533-position model. The record is from RNAcentral.